Molecule: ribosomal RNA, 479 nt
Filed under: uncultured bacterium
Lineage: Bacteria
Description: partial 16S ribosomal RNA
Rfam family: Bacterial small subunit ribosomal RNA
Source: RNAcentral
GACGAACGCUGGCGGCGUGCUUAACACAUGCAAGUCGAGCGAUGAAGCACCUUCGGGUGUGAAUUAGCGGCGAACGGGUGAGGAACACGUGAAGAAUCUGCCUUCAACUCUGGGAUAACUCCGGGAAACCGGGGCUAAUACCGGAUAUGAGCCUUGAUCGCAUGAUCGGGGCUGGAAAGUUUUUCGGUUGAAGAUGACUUCGCGGCCUAUCAGCUUGUUGGUGAGGUAAUGGCUCACCAAGGCGGCGACGGGUAGCCGGCCUGGGAGGGCGACCGGGCACACUGGGACGGAGACACGGCCCAGACUCCUACGGGAGGCAGCAGUGGGGAAUAUUGGGCAAUGGAGGAAACUCUGAACCAGCGACGCCGCGUGAGGGAUGAAGGCCUUCGGGUUGUAAACCUCUUUCAGUAGGGAAGAAGCGAAAGUGACGGUACCUACAGAAGAAGCACCGGCUAACUAUGUGCCAGCAGCCGCCGUAA